AGAGGGUGCGAGCGUUAAUCGGAAUUACUGGGCGUAAAGGGUGCGUAGGUGGUUGCGUGAGUUGGGUGUGAAAGUCCUGGGCUUAACCUGGGGAAUGCGCUCAAUACUGUGUAGCUAGAGUACUGUAGAGGGAAGUGGAAUUUCCGGUGUAGCGGUGAAAUGCGUAGAUAUCGGAAGGAACAUCAGUGGCGAAGGCGACUUCCUGGACAGCUACUGACACUGAGGCACGAAAGCGUGGGGGAGCAAACAGGAUUAGAUACCCUGGUAGUCCAUGCCGUAAACGAUGAAGACUAGCUGUUGGAAACCCUCGGGUUUUUAGUAGCGAAGCUAACGCGAUAAGUCUUCCGCCUGGGGAGUACGGCCGCAAGGUUA
RNAcentral lists this ribosomal RNA (372 nucleotides) under uncultured organism. RNAcentral's name for it is "partial 16S ribosomal RNA". It matches the Rfam family "Bacterial small subunit ribosomal RNA", at positions 527 to 896 of the family's 1533-position model. The record is from RNAcentral.